AUACUUACCUGGCAGGGGAGAUACCAUGAUCACGAAGGUGGUUUUCCCAGGGCGAGGCUUAUCCAUUGCACUCCGGAUGUGGGAAACUCGACUGCAUAAUUUGUGGUAGUGGGGGACUGCGUUCGCACUUUCCCCUG
Molecule: small nuclear RNA, 137 nt
Organism: Aotus nancymaae (Ma's night monkey)
Lineage: Eukaryota; Metazoa; Chordata; Mammalia; Primates; Aotidae
Gene: U1
Rfam family: U1 spliceosomal RNA
About the family: U1 is a small nuclear RNA (snRNA) component of the spliceosome (involved in pre-mRNA splicing). Its 5' end forms complementary base pairs with the 5' splice junction, thus defining the 5' donor site of an intron.
Source: Ensembl